This 253-nucleotide ribosomal RNA is filed under the name uncultured bacterium. RNAcentral's name for it is "partial 16S ribosomal RNA". It matches the Rfam family "Bacterial small subunit ribosomal RNA", at positions 524 to 776 of the family's 1533-position model. The record is from RNAcentral.
UACGUAGGGCGCAAGCGUUGUCCGGAAUUACUGGGCGUAAAGGGCGCGUAGGCGGCACUGUUAGUCAGGCGUGAAAGUCCUGGGCUCAACCUGGGAACUGCGCUUGAUACGGCAGAGCUAGAGGAUGGAAGAGGCUCGCGGAAUUCCCAGUGUAGAGGUGAAAUUCGUAGAUAUUGGGAAGAACACCGGUGGCGAAGGCGGCGAGCUGGUCCAUUACUGACGCUGAGGCGCGACAGCGUGGGGAGCAAACAGG